This is a long non-coding RNA of Engraulis encrasicolus (European anchovy), 512 nucleotides long. RefSeq lists it as uncharacterized. The transcript has 4 exons. NCBI's taxonomy places the organism in Eukaryota, Metazoa, Chordata, Actinopteri, Clupeiformes, Engraulidae. The record is from RefSeq and is a predicted model, not a curated record.
GACAGGGGAACAUAAGACCCGGUGAACAUAGGACCCGGGGAACAUAGGUACGCUCCCAUUAUUGUGUGUACAUCUCUAAGAUAAAUCAAAAGAUAGAAAUGAGGUAGGCUACUGGGUGGGUUUAAGUUUAAAAGUUGUAUGUGUGUUUCAAAUGUCAGUCUGUUUCACACUGUUUAUCAGAGAUGAAUAGCCUAAUGUUUAUGUUGUGUUAUAUUUUGCUUUGCAGUUGAGAAGAUAGCCAGGGAGCCUGUUGCUGGGUGGAGCUGUCUUGUUACUGUACGCGACCAUGUCUGAAAAUAAGUGGAACUAGUCGGUUUCUGAAGCAAAGAAGAUGGCCAGGACUCCUUGCUGAUAGAUGGGAGCCAGAUAGAGUUGGUAGAGCUACCCAGUUCUACUCACUACUCUACCCAAGACACUUGCUGUUGGAUGGAAGCUGUCUGGUUUCAGUACAUACCUAAAUAUGCUGAGCCAGGCACGCCUUACUGCUGGAUAGGAGCUGUCUUAAGUUGCUA